AGAAGGUAGAAGGAACAAAAAAAAGGGGGGGUGGAAGGUUGUUGUUUCUAAGUCCCACAUUGGUUAGAUGAGGGAAGAGAAGAGGUGCCUUCAUGUAUAAAAAGGAGGGGGUGUGUGCAUUAGGAAGCAUGAGAGGCUAAGAUGCAAUUUAGAGAAAAUUGCAACUUUGGGCCCAAAGGUUUGAAUAAUUAAAUUCAAACCUAUAGUUUUUUUUUAAUAUAAUUUUGGGACUCACAAUCCCAUUUUUAUAUUAUUUUUCUCUCUUCCUCUCACGUUGCUCGGCGUUUUCUCGCAAGGGGGGAUUAUUUUCUUUUUUCUUCAGAUUAUAUUGACAAAGAUAGUGGUGAAAAAGGAGUUGUGAAGGGGAACUUGUUAUUCAAGACACAAGGAGCGAAUCCGGCCGAGAAAGCACCAGAGGUGUAAUUAUGGUGUAUGAGACACCAUCUUUUACGUUGCCUCUUAUUUUGGAUUAUACAAUGUAUCUUGUGCCA
Prosopis cineraria is the source of this 491-nucleotide long non-coding RNA. RefSeq lists it as uncharacterized. NCBI's taxonomy places the organism in Eukaryota, Viridiplantae, Streptophyta, Magnoliopsida, Fabales, Fabaceae. The transcript has 3 exons. The record is from RefSeq and is a predicted model, not a curated record.